RNAcentral lists this ribosomal RNA (444 nucleotides) under uncultured bacterium. RNAcentral's name for it is "bacterial SSU rRNA". It matches the Rfam family "Bacterial small subunit ribosomal RNA", at positions 354 to 796 of the family's 1533-position model. The record is from RNAcentral.
GUGAGGAAUAUUGCGCAAUGGCCGAAAGGCUGACGCAGCGACGCCGCGUGAAGGAUGAAGUCCGUUAGGACGUAAACUUCUUUUGCAAGGGAUGAAUGUUCCCGAUUUAUCGGGAAUUGACCGUACCCUGCGAAUAAGGAUCGGCCAACUACGUGCCAGCAGCCGCGGUAAUACGUAGGAUCCGAGCGUUGUCCGGAAUUACUGGGUGUAAAGGGCGUGUAGGUGGGUCUCUAAGUCGGGGGUGAAAUCCUGGAGCUUAACUCCAGAAUUGCUUCCGAUACUGGAGGUCUUGAGUACGGCAGAGGGAGAUGGAAUUCAUGGUGUAGCGGUGAAAUGUGUAGAUAUCAUGAAGAACACCGGUAGCGAAGGCGGUCUCCUGGUCCGUUACUGACACUGAGGCGCGAAAGCGUGGGGAGCAAACAGGAUUAGAAACCCCAGUAGUCC